AAUAGAUACCCAGGUAGUCCACGCCGUAAACGAUGAGUGCUAAGUGUUAGAGGGUUUCCGCCCUUUAGUGCUGCAGCUAACGCAUUAAGCACUCCGCCUGGGGGGGUACGGCCGCAAGGCUGAAACUCAAAGGAAUUGACGGGGGGCCCGCACAAGCGGUGGAGCAUGUGGUUUAAUUCGAAGCAACGCGAAGAACCUUACCAGGUCUUGACAUCCUCUGCCAACCCUAGAGAUAGGGCGUUCCCCUUCGGGGGACAGAGUGACAGGUGGUGCAUGGUUGUCGUCAGCUCGUGUCGUGAGAUGUUGGGUUAAGUCCCGCAACGAGCGCAACCCUUGAUCUUAGUUGCCAGCAUUCAGUUGGGCACUCUAAGGUGACUGCCGGUGACAAACCGGAGGAAGGUGGGGAUGACGUCAAAUCAUCAUGCCCCUUAUGACCUGGGCUACACACGUGCUACAAUGGAUGGUACAAAGAGCUGCGAACCCGCGAGGGUAAGCCAAUCUCAUAAAGCCAUUCUCAGUUCGGAUUGUAGG
This 531-nucleotide ribosomal RNA is filed under the name uncultured bacterium. Its description in RNAcentral is "bacterial SSU rRNA". It matches the Rfam family "Bacterial small subunit ribosomal RNA", at positions 777 to 1304 of the family's 1533-position model. The record is from RNAcentral.